This 672-nucleotide ribosomal RNA is filed under the name uncultured bacterium. RNAcentral's name for it is "bacterial SSU rRNA". It matches the Rfam family "Bacterial small subunit ribosomal RNA", at positions 842 to 1510 of the family's 1533-position model. The record is from RNAcentral.
CGUGCCGGAGUUAACGCACUAAGUGACCCGCCUGGGGAGUACGACCGCAAGGUUGAAACUCAAAGGAAUUGACGGGGGCCCGCACAAGCAGUGGAGCGUGUGGUUUAAUUCGAAGCAACGCGCAGAACCUUACCAGGCCUUGACAUCCCCUGACAGCCUCAGAGAUGAGGUCUUCCGCUUUGCGGACAGGGUGACAGGUGUUGCAUGGUUGUCGUCAGCUCGUGUCGUGAGAUGUUGGGUUAAGUCCCGCAACGAGCGCAACCCCCGUCCUGUGUUGCCAGCGUAAAGUCGGGCACUCACAGGAGACUGCCGGAGACAAUUCGGAGGAAGGUGGGGAUGACGUCAAAUCCUCAUGGCCCUUAUGGCCUGGGCUACACACGCGCUACAAUGGCCUGUACAGAGGGAAGCGAAGGGGCGACCUGGAGCGAAUCUCACAAAGCAGGUCUCAGUUCGGAUUGCAGGCUGAAACCCGCCUGCAUGAAGCCGGAAUUGCUAGUAAUCGCGGAUCAGCUACGCCGCGGUGAAUACGUUCUCGGGCCUUGUACACACCGCCCGUCACACCACGAGAGUCGGCAACACCCGAAGCCGGUGGAGCUAACCCGCAAGGGAAGCAGCCGUCGAAGGUGGGGUUGGUGAUUGGGGUGAAGUCGUAACAAGGUAACCAAGGGCGAA